AUUGAACGCUAGCGGGAUGCUUUACACAUGCAAGUCGAACGAGUGGCGGACGGGUGAGUAAUUUAUCGAACGUUGCCCGGUGGGGGGGGUUAACUACUCGAAAAGGGGGCUAUUACCGAUUACUAUGGGGUGGGCGGAUAUCGGAUUAGCUGGUUGGUGGGGUAAGGGCUCACCAAGGCAACGAUCCGUAGCUGGUUUGAGAGGACGACCAGCCACACUGGGACUGAGACACGGCCCAGACUCCUACGGGAGGCAGCAGUGGGGAAUUUUGGACAAUGGGGGAAACCCUGAUCCAGCCAUCCCGCGUGUAUGAGAAGGCCUUCGGGUUGUAAAGUACUUUUGGCAGAGAAGCGGUAUCUGCAGAAUAAGCACCGGCUAACUACGUGCCAGCAGCCGCGGUAAUUC
Molecule: ribosomal RNA, 405 nt
Filed under: uncultured bacterium
Lineage: Bacteria
Description: partial 16S ribosomal RNA
Rfam family: Bacterial small subunit ribosomal RNA
Source: RNAcentral